GGAGAAGUGGCCGAGUGGUUUAAGGCAACGGUCUUGAAAACCGUCGUACCGAGAGGUACCGUGGGUUCGAAUCCCACCUUCUCCUCCA
Molecule: transfer RNA, 88 nt
Filed under: Deltaproteobacteria bacterium HGW-Deltaproteobacteria-4
Lineage: Bacteria; Deltaproteobacteria
Description: tRNA-Ser
Rfam family: tRNA
About the family: Transfer RNA (tRNA) molecules are approximately 80 nucleotides in length. Their secondary structure includes four short double-helical elements and three loops (D, anti-codon, and T loops).
Source: RNAcentral